This 590-nucleotide ribosomal RNA is filed under the name Pseudoechria curvicolla. RNAcentral describes it as "eukaryotic LSU rRNA". It matches the Rfam family "Eukaryotic large subunit ribosomal RNA", at positions 1 to 603 of the family's 3401-position model. The record is from RNAcentral. Lineage: Eukaryota; Fungi; Ascomycota; Sordariomycetes; Sordariales; Schizotheciaceae.
UUGACCUCGGAUCAGGUAGGAAUACCCGCUGAACUUAAGCAUAUCAAUAAGCGGAGGAAAAGAAACCAACAGGGAUUGCCCUAGUAACGGCGAGUGAAGCGGCAACAGCUCAAAUUUGAAAUCUGGCAACAGCCCGAGUUGUAAUUUGCAGAGGAAGCUUCUGGCGACGCACUGUCUAAGUCCCCUGGAACGGGGCGCCACAGCGGGUGAGAGCCCCAUGUGAUGGCUGCGGACCCAGUGUGAAGCUCCUUCGACGAGUCGAGUAGUUUGGGAAUGCUGCUCAAAAUGGGAGGUAAAUUCCUUCUAAAGCUAAAUAUUGGCCAGAGACCGAUAGCGCACAAGUAGAGUGAUCGAAAGAUGAAAAGCACUUUGAAAAGAGGGUUAAACAGCACGUGAAAUUGUUGAAAGGGAAGCGCUCAUGACCAGACUUGCGCUGGGCUGAUCAUCCGGUGUUCUCACCGGUGCACUCUGCCCGGCUCAGGCCAGCAUCGGUUUUGGUGGGGGGAUAAAGGCGCCGGGAACGUAGCUCCUCCGGGAGUGUUAUAGCCCGGUGUGCAAUACCCCCGCUGGGACCGAGGUCCGCGCAUCGC